AUUCAGCUGACGAGUCCCAAAUAGAGCGAAACGUGAUUCCUGGUU
RNAcentral lists this non-coding RNA (45 nucleotides) under Schistosoma margrebowiei. The record is from RNAcentral. Lineage: Eukaryota; Metazoa; Platyhelminthes; Trematoda; Strigeidida; Schistosomatidae.